UAGGGAAUCUUCCGCAAUGGACGCAAGUCUGACGGAGCAACGCCGCGUGAGUGAAGAAGGAUUUCGGUUCGUAAAACUCUGUUGUUAGAGAAGAACAGCGCAUAGAGUAACUGUUAUGCGUGUGACGGUAUCUAACCAGAAAGCCACGGCUAACUACGUGCCAGCAGCCGCGGUAAUACGUAGGUGGCAAGCGUUGUCCGGAUUUAUUGGGCGUAAAGCGAGCGCAGGCGGUCAAUUAAGUCUGAUGUGAAAGCCCCCGGCUCAACCGGGGAGGGGCAUUGGAAACUGGUUGACUUGAGUGCAGAAGAGGAGAGGGGAAUUCCAUGUGUAGCGGUGAAAUGCGUAGAUAUAUGGAGGAACACCAGUGGCGAAGGCGACUCUCUGGUCUGUAACUGACGCUGAGGCUCGAAAGCGUGGGUAGCAAACAGG
RNAcentral lists this ribosomal RNA (429 nucleotides) under Bacteroidota bacterium. RNAcentral describes it as "Bacteroidetes bacterium partial 16S ribosomal RNA". It matches the Rfam family "Bacterial small subunit ribosomal RNA", at positions 355 to 776 of the family's 1533-position model. Lineage: Bacteria; Pseudomonadati; Bacteroidota. The record is from RNAcentral.